This 468-nucleotide ribosomal RNA is filed under the name uncultured bacterium. Its description in RNAcentral is "partial 16S ribosomal RNA". It matches the Rfam family "Bacterial small subunit ribosomal RNA", at positions 28 to 507 of the family's 1533-position model. The record is from RNAcentral.
GACGAACGCUGGCGGCGUGCUUAACACAUGCAAGUCGAACGGAAAGGCCCUGCUUUUGUGGGGUGCUCGAGUGGCGAACGGGUGAGUAACACGUGAGUAACCUGCCCUUGACUUUGGGAUAACUUCAGGAAACUGGGGCUAAUACCGGAUAGGAGCUCCUGCUGCAUGGUGGGGGUUGGAAAGUUUCGGCGGUUGGGGAUGGACUCGCGGCUUAUCAGCUUGUUGGUGGGGUAGUGGCUUACCAAGGCUUUGACGGGUAGCCGGCCUGAGAGGGUGACCGGCCACAUUGGGACUGCGAUACGGCCCAGACUCCUACGGGAGGCAGCAGUGGGGAAUAUUACACAAUGGGCGGAAGCCUGAUGCAGCGACGCCGCGGGCGGGAUGACGGCCUUCGGGUUGUAAACCGCUUUCGCCUGUGACGAAGCGUGAGUGACGGUAAUGGGUAAAGAAGCACCGGCUAACUACGUG